Molecule: long non-coding RNA, 2057 nt
Organism: Triticum dicoccoides
Lineage: Eukaryota; Viridiplantae; Streptophyta; Magnoliopsida; Poales; Poaceae
Exons: 6
Source: RefSeq, a predicted model, not a curated record
UUUUAUGGAGUUUGUAAGGAUAAGCAAAUAAAUGCAUCGCCCACUUCUUGAGUGCCACUGAAACGCUGAUUGCAUGCAAGAUUUGAUCAAUUAGGCUGCUGGUAUUAUCUAUGAUAUUUGCACGUAAGAUUUGACAGGUGACAUCAGCACUGAUUUGCCCACCGUGAAUUCCUGUUUGUGUUACAACAUGCGUAGAGCUAGCCUAUAGCCUCCAUAAAAAAAAUACCAUAGCCUCUCGAGCCGUUAUUAAUUUGUGCCCAUGUACCAACUCCAAGAUAAAACAAUUGUGUCCCUGUACAACAUGUUUUUCUUUUUAAGAAUCUACAACAUGUUGGGCUGACCGUGUGCACGUUCCGAUUUAAUAGGCUUGCAUCGUAUGUUUUUCUGUUCUUUUUUGUGUCUGCUUGGAUAGUAGAUGUCAUAGUAGGACCUUGCCUUUUUAUUUGUACGUGACUUUCUCUAGCUUUUGCAUUGGCUUGCAUCGGCUUAAAUUCCAGCAAGGAAGCAGCAGUCUUGCAACCGGACUUCUAUUCUUUUCUGAAGUUGAACCGGAUUGGCCUUUUUCCUAGCCAAGCAUAGAGUUCCUUGGGUUUCCUUCUAUGAUAGAUUAUCGCAUACCUGCCUAUGAUAAACUCUUUUCACGUGCCAAAGACUGUUUUUUUUUCAUGAUAGAUCUCUUUAUACGAGUCAACAAUUUAUUGUACCGAAUAGGUGCUGUACAUAUCUUUGUUCAUCUUUCAAUCUCGACCGUUCUAAAUAAAAUCAAUGGUAAUUCUUUGAGCAUAUGUGUAUAAACGUGAUGGCUUGUUUGCCUUUUGUCUUAAGUAUAUAAUAAUAGAAGAUUUAUCUAUAAAUUUUGAUUAGAAAUAAGUGUUUUAUUCUACUAUAAUAAUGCAUAUGAUACCAGAUUAGUUGUAAGGAACUUGUUCAGACAUGUUAGAAUGCAAAAAUUUAAUCACAGAAGUAGUACCUGCAGUUAUAUUAUACAAAGUUGAUAACGGUGUUACGGUGGCGUCAUGGUACCGAUGCACUUGAUGUCAUAGCAGUUAUAUUGUACAGGAUGUGCUGAUAUGGUACAGACAUUGUGCGUGCGAUUGACCGUCUAUGUGUCUGCAACGUUGCCGCGUAUAGAUGCGUUGUUGACAUGCCUUGUAUCUCCAGGAUGUGUGGCAACGGCCUAGUGUAUACCAAUGCACUUGAUUCAGGCGUACGGAGGUGUGCCUUUCUCAUCUUGAGCGGAGCCGUGUUGUGUGUUCCAAUCGGAAAGCUAUCAGCCGCCAGCACGGAUUGUAUUCUGUUUAGAGGUCGAGUUCGCAUGCACACUGCAUACUGUCGGGCCUGGAAAUCUACUCAAUAGACAUGCAAUUUCUCCAUGAAGCUCUAAGUUUUCAUCUCUCACCACGAUCCUUGAGUACUGUGGAGCAGCUUCUUCAUCCAGCCUCUUGUUUUCGUCUUCAGCAGGACUACAAGGCGAAUUGCUACAUAAACAGCAGAGAGAGAGCAUGGGGACGGCCUGCCCCACAUCCCAUGAGGAACUUUCGCGCAAAGAAAACACACACAGGGCAGGAAGGGGAAAACAUAUAGGAGUCUCUCUAUUGGAAGGGGAAAAUAUAAUAUUAGACACCAUUUAUUUUUUUGCUCGCUGAUGCAUGCAAUGUAUCAUUUGGCCUUGAUUUAAUGUACUGCACUUUUCUUCAUUGCUCUCUGUUCUUUAAUAAGGCAGACUCAUAUAGAACCUGAUAUUUCUUAGUGAUGUCUUCAGAUCCCAUGAAUGUCAUUUUGCACCGAAGGUUUGUAACCAUUGGGGAAUGUUUUCUUGCUCUGAUGUAUCAAGUUGCCAUGGGGGUGAUCUAGAGGUCUCUUCCUUGUCCAAAGUAUGUCAUACCUAAUCAAGACAUGUUCAUUUAAUUUACCCGUCAUGUAAAUGACACAACAUGAUUCACUUGUGUAUAGUGUAAACAUAUAUUUAUUUAUGGCAAGCAGGUGUUCAAAUUAUAGUUGUGAAACGUGUAUAGUGUAAGGAUAUAAUUAUUAAGGGAAGUGACGUCACAGUGGUC